CGGGAAGGCACGCCAGGCACGGAACGCAAACCUCAUUCGCGAGCCUCAUACAGAGGGCACGUUCACCAUAAAUAUUUAGCACGAUCCUUCGACGCAGCCGCCCUUCCGCUUGUGCCUGGACACAGUUGUGGGGGAUGCAGGCGACCACGAGGAUCCCGGGGAGCCCGGUGCAAAAGAGGCGACGCCUUGGAGAGGAGCUGCUGACAUCUCACUGCCAGGCCUGAGGAGAUGCAGAUAAAAGAAAUAUUCAAGAAAAUACUUCGGUUAUUCAGGAGCUCCAACCUUCUCAGUUUUCUUCAUCAUAGCUAACGGGGAUUCACGCCGAGCUCCACGUGUGUCUGGUUUUCAAGAAGACGAGGCGGCUGAGUGGCUCGGGCGUGCCCUGUCUCCAGCCCUGUCUGCUAUGCUGCUGGCCCCUGACUUCUCGGUCACCUCCGCUCACCCUCGGAUCUGACCAGCAGCUUCGGUACCUGGCGCCUCUCUGGCGAAGUGUGGUGGUCACAGGGCUGUCGGGGCACCAGGCAGGGCAUGAUAUGCACAUACUUCCUCACAUUUUAGGACCGUGAGUGCUACUCUCCCAUAAAUACCUGAACUCGUACAUUGGCUGCUGAUUUAUAAAGGUCCAAAGCAGCCAGAAAGCAGUGCAUGUGGGCACAAAUAUGUUAAAAAUGAG
This 673-nucleotide long non-coding RNA is filed under the name Heterocephalus glaber (naked mole-rat). Its description in RNAcentral is "lncRNA (ENSHGLG00000048717.1)". The record is from RNAcentral. Lineage: Eukaryota; Metazoa; Chordata; Mammalia; Rodentia; Bathyergidae.